RNAcentral lists this ribosomal RNA (664 nucleotides) under Rhizopus arrhizus. RNAcentral's name for it is "eukaryotic LSU rRNA". The stretch from base 261 to 414 matches the Rfam family "5.8S ribosomal RNA". The record is from RNAcentral. Lineage: Eukaryota; Fungi; Mucoromycota; Mucoromycetes; Mucorales; Rhizopodaceae.
CCUAAGUAAGCGCUUUAACAUAAUUAAUGAUCCCCCCUCCGUAGGUGAACCUGCGGAAGGAUCAUUAAUUAUGUUAAAGCGCCUUACCUUAGGGUUUCCUCUGGGGUAAGUGAUUGCUUCUACACUGUGAAAAUUUGGCUGAGAGACUCAGACUGGUCAUGGGUAGACCUAUCUGGGGUUUGAUCGAUGCCACUCCUGGUUUCAGGAGUACCCUUCAUAAUAAACCUAGAAAUUCAGUAUUAUAAAGUUUAAUAAAAAACAACUUUUAACAAUGGAUCUCUUGGUUCUCGCAUCGAUGAAGAACGUAGCAAAGUGCGAUAACUAGUGUGAAUUGCAUAUUCAGUGAAUCAUCGAGUCUUUGAACGCAGCUUGCACUCUAUGGUUUUUCUAUAGAGUACGCCUGCUUCAGUAUCAUCACAAACCCACACAUAACAUUUGUUUAUGUGGUGAUGGGUCGCAUCGCUGUUUUAUUACAGUGAGCACCUAAAAUGUGUGUGAUUUUCUGUCUGGCUUGCUAGGCAGGAAUAUUACGCUGGUCUCAGGAUCUUUUUUUUUGGUUCGCCCAGGAAGUAAAGUACAAGAGUAUAAUCCAGUAACUUUCAAACUAUGAUCUGAAGUCAGGUGGGAUUACCCGCUGAACUUAAGCAUAUCAAUAAGCGGAGGA